GCCCCCGUAGCUCAACUGGAUAGAGCAGGACGGUUCUAACGUCAAGGUUGGGGGUUCGAGUCCCUCCGGGGGUGCCA
RNAcentral lists this transfer RNA (77 nucleotides) under bacterium. RNAcentral's name for it is "tRNA-Arg". It matches the Rfam family "tRNA". From Rfam's summary of the family: Transfer RNA (tRNA) molecules are approximately 80 nucleotides in length. RNAcentral also lists the same sequence under 1 other name. The record is from RNAcentral.